This 251-nucleotide ribosomal RNA is filed under the name uncultured bacterium. RNAcentral's name for it is "partial 16S ribosomal RNA". It matches the Rfam family "Bacterial small subunit ribosomal RNA", at positions 15 to 249 of the family's 1533-position model. The record is from RNAcentral.
GAUCAUGGCUCAGGAUGAACGCUGGCGGCGUGCUUAACACAUGCAAGUCGAACGGGAAUUACUUUAUUGAAACUUCGGUCGAUAUGAUUUAAUUCUAGUGGCGGACGGGUGAGUAACGCGUGGGUAACCUGCCUUAUACAGGGGGAUAACAGUCAGAAAUGACUGCUAAUACCGCAUAAGCGCACAGGACCGCAUGGUCCGGUGUGAAAAACUCCGGUGGUAUAAGAUGGACCCGCGUUGGAUUAGCUUGG